AACCCGGAUGAACAGUUUCUGACAAAAUAAAAGCGCAGAUUAAUGUCAGCAGAUAAAUGAAGAGCUCGCUGAACGGGAGAAUGUGCACCAUCUAGAGGAGGAGAGCCAGCCAGUCUUAAUAAACCCACUCCCUAAAACCA
This is a long non-coding RNA of Micropterus salmoides (largemouth bass), 140 nucleotides long. RefSeq lists it as uncharacterized. The record is from RefSeq and is a predicted model, not a curated record. The transcript is spliced from 2 exons. Lineage: Eukaryota; Metazoa; Chordata; Actinopteri; Centrarchiformes; Centrarchidae.